This 70-nucleotide transfer RNA is filed under the name Marmota monax (woodchuck). It matches the Rfam family "tRNA". Rfam says of the family: Transfer RNA (tRNA) molecules are approximately 80 nucleotides in length. Their secondary structure includes four short double-helical elements and three loops (D, anti-codon, and T loops). The record is from Rfam by way of RNAcentral. RNAcentral also lists the same sequence under 1 other name. Lineage: Eukaryota; Metazoa; Chordata; Mammalia; Rodentia; Sciuridae.
GGGGAUGUGGCUCAAGUGGUAGAGCGCUUGCCUAGCAUGCGUGAGGCACUGGGUUCGAUUCUCAGCACCA